RNAcentral lists this ribosomal RNA (406 nucleotides) under uncultured bacterium. Its description in RNAcentral is "partial 16S ribosomal RNA". It matches the Rfam family "Bacterial small subunit ribosomal RNA", at positions 30 to 526 of the family's 1533-position model. The record is from RNAcentral.
AUUGAACGCUGGCGGCAGGCUUAACACAUGCAAGUCGAGCGAGCGGCGGACGGGUGAGUAAUGUCUGGGGAUCUGCCUGAUGGAGGGGGAUAACUACUGGAAACGGUGGCUAAUACCGCAUACUAUCGGAUGAACCCAUAUGGGAUUAGCUAGUAGGUGGGGUAAAGGCUCACCUAGGCGACGAUCUCUAGCUGGUCUGAGAGGAUGACCAGCCACCCUGGGACUGAGACACGGUCCAGCCUCCUACGGGAGGCAGCAGUGGGGAAUAUUGCACAAUGGGCGCAAGCCUUAUGCAGCCAUGCCGCGUGUGUGAAGAAGUCCUUCGGGUUGUAAAGUACUUUCAGCGGGGAGGCGUUACCCGCAGAAGAAGCACCGGCUAACUCCGUGCCAGCAGCCGCGGUAAUUC